Molecule: ribosomal RNA, 710 nt
Filed under: Vibrio sp. CS02
Lineage: Bacteria; Pseudomonadati; Pseudomonadota; Gammaproteobacteria; Vibrionales; Vibrionaceae
Description: bacterial SSU rRNA
Rfam family: Bacterial small subunit ribosomal RNA
Source: RNAcentral
GAUGACCGAUCGUCCGGAAACGACACUAACAAUCCUUCGGGUGCGUUAAUGGGCGUCGAGCGGCGGACGGGUGAGUAAUGCCUAGGAAAUUGCCUUGAUGUGGGGGAUAACCAUUGGAAACGAUGGCUAAUACCGCAUAAUGCCUACGGGCCAAAGAGGGGGAUCUUCGGACCUCUCGCGUCAAGAUAUGCCUAGGUGGGAUUAGCUAGUUGGUGAGGUAAUGGCUCACCAAGGCGACGAUCCCUAGCUGGUCUGAGAGGAUGAUCAGCCACACUGGAACUGAGACACGGUCCAGACUCCUACGGGAGGCAGCAGUGGGGAAUAUUGCACAAUGGGCGAAAGCCUGAUGCAGCCAUGCCGCGUGUAUGAAGAAGGCCUUCGGGUUGUAAAGUACUUUCAGUUGUGAGGAAGGGGGUAACGUUAAUAGCGUUAUCUCUUGACGUUAGCAACAGAAGAAGCACCGGCUAACUCCGUGCCAGCAGCCGCGGUAAUACGGAGGGUGCGAGCGUUAAUCGGAAUUACUGGGCGUAAAGCGCAUGCAGGUGGUUCAUUAAGUCAGAUGUGAAAGCCCGGGGCUCAACCUCGGAACUGCAUUUGAAACUGGUGAACUAGAGUGCUGUAGAGGGGGGUAGAAUUUCAGGUGUAGCGGUGAAAUGCGUAGAGAUCUGAAGGAAUACCAGUGGCGAAGGCGGCCCCCUGGACAGACACUG